GGAGGGGCCCUGGCUCAGUGGGAGAGCAUCUGCUGGGCACGCAGAAGGCGCCAGGUUCAAUCCCCAGCAUCUCCA
This 75-nucleotide transfer RNA is filed under the name Sphaerodactylus townsendi. RNAcentral describes it as "tRNA-Ala". The record is from RNAcentral. Lineage: Eukaryota; Metazoa; Chordata; Lepidosauria; Squamata; Sphaerodactylidae.